Molecule: long non-coding RNA, 581 nt
Organism: Gorilla gorilla gorilla (western lowland gorilla)
Lineage: Eukaryota; Metazoa; Chordata; Mammalia; Primates; Hominidae
Gene: PELATON
Product: plaque enriched lncRNA in atherosclerotic and inflammatory bowel macrophage regulation
Exons: 4
Source: RefSeq, a predicted model, not a curated record
ACACAGCUGGGAUGUAGCAGAGCUGGGGUUCCAGCUCCUGUUCCCAUUGCUGGACAGCUGCCACAUCUGGCACCCAAUUUAGGACCCCGUGGGGAGGCCCAAGCCCCGGGGGUGGCGGGGGAUCCUAGAGGGAAGUGGCAAGGCCAGGACCCUGGAGCAGAGCCAGAGUAGAAAACUGAGGCUCUGAGAGAUGAAGCUACUUGCCAAGGUCACGCAGCUCAGUCACAUCCUACUGAACAUCAUCCUGUUCCCUGGGGACUUAGCACGUAUCCUAGAAAUUAACCUGCUGGUAGAUCCUGUUUCUUGUCUGUCUCUUUCCAGUGGAAUGUCACCAUCGCCCAGGUCCUCCCAGCAGCUCCUGCAAACAGACCCCCGACCCAAGCCCUUCCUUCUGCCUCCACUGCCACCAUUGCUGCUCAUCUCUGCUGGCACAGAAGUCUCUUCCCUGGACUUCCAGAAAUCCCCUCUCCACACUCAGCCAGAGGGAGCUAUUAAAACUGCGGGCCAGCCCACAUCAGUCCACAGCGAAGUCCUCUCUAAGGGAUCCCUGUUGCUUGGAGAAUAAACCCUCGGAUUCCUUC